This 556-nucleotide ribosomal RNA is filed under the name Fructobacillus tropaeoli. RNAcentral's name for it is "bacterial SSU rRNA". It matches the Rfam family "Bacterial small subunit ribosomal RNA", at positions 110 to 654 of the family's 1533-position model. Lineage: Bacteria; Bacillati; Bacillota; Bacilli; Lactobacillales; Lactobacillaceae. The record is from RNAcentral.
GUAACACGUGAAUAACCUACCGAAAAGCAGGGGAUAACAUUUGGAAACAGAUGCUAAUACCGUAUAAAACGUGCUGUCGCAUGACAAAACGUUAAAAGGUCCGUUUGGACCACUUUUUGAUGGAUUCGCGGUGCAUUAGUUAGUUGGUGGGGUAAAGGCUCACCAAGACGAUGAUGCAUAGCCGAGUUGAGAGACUGACCGGCCACAUUGGGACUGAGACACGGCCCAAACUCCUACGGGAGGCUGCAGUAGGGAAUCUUCCACAAUGGGCGCAAGCCUGAUGGAGCAACGCCGCGUGUGUGAUGAAGGCUUUCGGGUCGUAAAGCACUGUUGUAUGGGAAGAACGGUAAGGGUAGGAAAUGAUCUUUACAUGACGGUACCAUACCAGAAAGGGACGGCUAAAUACGUGCCAGCAGCCGCGGUAAUACGUAUGUCCCGAGCGUUAUCCGGAUUUAUUGGGCGUAAAGCGAGCGCAGACGGUUUGAUAAGUCUGAAGUGAAAGCCCACAGCUCAACUGUGGAAGUGCUUUGGAAACUGUCAAACUUGAGUGCAGUAG